CCAAAUAAAGCCAUAUUGCCCUAAAGGGACCUGGACCUCUAGUGUUUAAGUCAGGGAUUUGCCUACAGUGAAGGGACCACAGUGGAUAGGGUGCCCGGCUUAGAUUCGACUCCCUGACUACUCCACUGGAUGGGAUCUGCACCACUUUUGAGGUAUAUCUGCCUGGAGAUCUAUCUUACUACCUUGACUACAUUCGCAGGGGAGUCACAUUCUCAGCUGUCUCAUCCAACUGUUUUAGCCUGCUGAUGUUAAUCUGCAUAUGCCUCAUUUCUUUAACUGAUCUGACUUUGACUUGUAGUUCCAAAAGGGAAGCCUGAAGAUGUGAGGUGCCAUUGAAAAAAAAGAAAGGGACAGAUUUUGCCUGCUUGGGACCAGCAGAUUAAGGAGGCAGUACCCCUUCUGGAACAUUUGUUGGAGUUUUUGGAUAAUUUGCAUCGAACAUUUGAUUUUGACCUUUGGAAUAUUUGGACUUUGUUUUUUAUGUUCAUUAUUUGGUUUCACACGCAACUGCCUUUAACUAGUUAGCGCCCCUUUCUCUCAUCUACAUAUGCAUUUAUAUGAAAUUUCUUUGCACCACAUGUACUAUAUGCUUUUUUUCACAAAGGCAUAUGCCACCCAUUGUGAUUACUCAUUGUGUGCCUAGCCGUAUGUUUUCAAUACACAGUUCACACUAGGUUUUCUUCAUUCAUGUUGUUAAAUUUGUCUGGACAGAGUUUUCACAUUAGCAAAGAUACCCCACAGAAACAGUUGAAUAUGCAAACAAGGCUAUCCUGAAAAACAAGAUGUAUGAAGCAUUGCCAGGCUAAUUACUCCAGUGAGCCGAACAAAACCAGACAGUUCCGAUCUGCCGUCAGACUUUAUUUUGCUUAUUUAAAAUUCACCUUUCUAGAAAGGUACUUAAAUCCCUUCUAACAAAACUGAUGCUUUAUGAGCAAGAGCGUCUAGUUUAUAAAGUCUAGGGAUCAGAAUAUCUUGUUUCAUUUUUACAUUGGCAAAUGAACAGACUUCAUAAUCUGUAACAUUAUGCACUUUUUAAUUCUCUUAUGUUACAAUAGCCGCUAGAUUUUAUAUAAUGCUGGAGAUCAUGCUAUUGGAAUAAAUAUUUAUGGGCCUCUUUUAAUUCUGACAUGUCUCUGCUAUAUAGAUAUUUUAGAAAUUAUAACCAUGUGUGUACAAUGAAAGCUUUACUGUUGCAGAAAAAAUGUCCUAGAGUGCAAUGAAUUUUGUAGGCAAAUUGCCAGAAUAAUAAUAAAGAAACACUAUUCAUUAUUAAUGACAGUUUCAAGUAGUUUCAGUAGUAUAGUAUAGUAUAUGAAAAACAAAAUGAACAAUGGUAAAUUUAUAGACUCAUUUUGUCACUAAUCUGUAGCAAGAAAGAUAUCAGCUAUUAUUUUUGAAAACACAUAACAUUCUAUUCUAUUCUAGAACAUAGUAUUUGUAAUCUUUAUUUUUAGGCAAUCAGCAUUGGAGUCCUCAGGCCAAACCUUCAUGUAGUUAUAGCACAGCUCAGUCCCUUUAGUGGUGGUUGUAUGCUUUUAAAAAUCAAGAGCUUUCAUCUAUAUAAAGCUACAGGGGGAGGCCAUUGUGCAAGUAAAGGUUGAGAAAAACUGUAAAUAGUUCAGGGAAAGACAGCCAAAUCAGUAUGGGAAUAAAUGUGACCAUGACCUCUUUUGUGGAAUUGGUACCAUUGCAAAAUGUA
Molecule: long non-coding RNA, 1699 nt
Organism: Xenopus laevis (African clawed frog)
Lineage: Eukaryota; Metazoa; Chordata; Amphibia; Anura; Pipidae
Exons: 3
Source: RefSeq, a predicted model, not a curated record